Molecule: unclassified non-coding RNA, 145 nt
Filed under: uncultured Helotiales
Lineage: Eukaryota; Fungi; Ascomycota; Leotiomycetes; Helotiales
Description: sequence contains ITS2
Source: RNAcentral
CAACCCUCAAGCUCUGCUUGGUAUUAAGCUUCACCUUUACAGGCGGGCUUUAAAAUCAGUGGCGGUGCCAUUUGGCUUCAAGCGUAGUAAAUUUCUCGCUUUGGAGAACCAUAUGUGUGCCUGCCAGCAACCCCAAUUUUUUAAA